Molecule: ribosomal RNA, 253 nt
Filed under: uncultured bacterium
Lineage: Bacteria
Description: partial 16S ribosomal RNA
Rfam family: Bacterial small subunit ribosomal RNA
Source: RNAcentral
UACGUAGGGCGCAAGCGUUGUCCGGAAUUAUUGGGCGUAAAGAGCUCGUAGGCGGCUUGUCACGUCGGUUGUGAAAGCCCGGGGCUUAACCCCGGGUCUGCAGUCGAUACGGGCAGGCUAGAGUUCGGUAGGGGAGACUGGAAUUCCUGGUGUAGCGGUGAAAUGCGCAGAUAUCAGGAGGAACACCGGUGGCGAAGGCGGGUCUCUGGGCCGAUACUGACGCUGAGGAGCGAAAGCGUGGGGAGCGAACAGG